UGCACUGCGACCUAUCAGGUAGUAGGGAGGGUAACGGCCUCCCUAGCCUACGACGGGUACGGGCGUUGAGAGACGUCGCCGGAGAUGAACUCUGAGACACGAGUUCAGGCCCUACGGGGCGCAGCAGGCGCGAAGACUGCACAAUGCUGGAAACAGCGAUGCGGGAAUUCCAAGUGCCGGCACACAGUGUCGGCUGUUCCAUUGUCUAAAAAACAUAGGAAGUAAGGGCUGGGUAAGACGGGUGCCAGCCGCCGCGGUAAUACCUGCAGCCCGAGUGGUGGCCGUUAUUAUUGGGCCUAAAACGUCCGUAGCCGGUUUGGUAGAUGCCUGUGUAAAUCGAACGGCUUAACCGUUCGAACUGCGGGUAGACCGCCAGACUUGGGACCGGGAGAGUCACGAAGUACUCCGGGGGUAGAGGUGAAAUUCUGUAAUCCUCGGGGGACUACCGGUGGCGAAGGCGUCGUGAUAGAACGGCUCCGACGGUGAGGGACGAAGCCCUGGGGCGCAAACCGGAUUAGAUACCCGGGUAGUCCAGGGUGUAAACGCUGCGGUCUUGGUGUCGGGAAUCCUACGGGGGUACCCGGUGCCGGAGAGAAGUUG
RNAcentral lists this ribosomal RNA (600 nucleotides) under uncultured archaeon. RNAcentral describes it as "bacterial SSU rRNA". It matches the Rfam family "Archaeal small subunit ribosomal RNA", at positions 211 to 814 of the family's 1478-position model. The record is from RNAcentral.